GACAGACAGACAGACAGACAGACAGACAGACAGACAGACAGACACACACACACAAAGACACACACAGACACAGAUACACACACACACACACACACACACACACACACACACACACACACACACACACCCAGCUCGAUGCCAAACCCCAGUGCUUUGAUAAACAGUUUGUUUCAGACGUGAUUCCGAGUUUUUGGAAAGUUUGUAAAAAAUGUGAGAAAGUACCGUUGAGUCUGGAGGAGCACACGCCGGUACCGCUGUCUGAGAAAAA
Molecule: long non-coding RNA, 268 nt
Organism: Sander lucioperca (pikeperch)
Lineage: Eukaryota; Metazoa; Chordata; Actinopteri; Perciformes; Percidae
Exons: 3
Source: RefSeq, a predicted model, not a curated record